CACCUCUAGGAUAGAGGAAGGAUAAAGCAUCAGGAUGAUGUAAAGGACACCGCUUAAGGAUAAGUGAAGAGAGUUAGCGACGGACUGUUAACGGAUCAGGAUUAGAUCAUGGACACCGCUAGGAUAGCGAUGGAAGGGAUACGCUGACGGAUUUCAGCAUACUAUCAAGGAAUUGAUGCACGGAGCCCCAUUAGUAGCCGGACUGCUGCGAGUAGAGUUAUGACCCCAUUAGGCGAA
RNAcentral lists this unclassified non-coding RNA (237 nucleotides) under Aliivibrio salmonicida LFI1238. RNAcentral's name for it is "CsrA-regulating small RNA CsrB1". The record is from RNAcentral. Lineage: Bacteria; Pseudomonadati; Pseudomonadota; Gammaproteobacteria; Vibrionales; Vibrionaceae.